CAUAGGACCUGCGUUUGAGACGUGCCCUGUUGAUACCUGGAGGAAAGAAACGUCCUUAUCUCUGAAGACACAAGACUUCAGAGAUAGAUCUGAACAAACACCUCUUCGGCUGCCGAGUGUCUGACGGGACAAAUCCUUCCAACGGCCGCAGCAGGUGCUUCUUCUAGCCCUGUGUUGCAAUGACCUGCAGCUCCUGGGGAUAACUCAGGCACGCUGCUGACGCCAUCAGGAGGCUCAACACCCUCACCCGCUUACGCUACGACCAGCAAAAGCAAACCCCGCAGCUGCCUGCCAGCCGGGAAGAAGGACUGUGUUUCCAUGUUGUGAGUCUCCUCAUUGCAGCCAGAUGAUGAAUUUGCUGCUGGCUUUGUGCGAAACCGAGAAAUACCCAGCGUCCAGCUGAGGGCCCGGGUGGCAACAAAAUCAAGCUGAUGAAUUAAAGAAAUAUGGCCUGGUCAGGAUGCCUGGAGGCCUCAGAGUUCUGAUCUUUCUUCUGAGUUACUACAUCUUCUGAACUGCUCCCAGGAUGGUGUUUGUGAUAAGUUGGUUUGCCCAGUAAAACUGUCGCCCAGUGGAGGCAAGCCCUA
This 587-nucleotide long non-coding RNA is filed under the name Homo sapiens (human). Its description in RNAcentral is "HSALNT0338146". The record is from RNAcentral. Lineage: Eukaryota; Metazoa; Chordata; Mammalia; Primates; Hominidae.